This 1154-nucleotide ribosomal RNA is filed under the name Klebsiella pneumoniae. RNAcentral's name for it is "partial 23S ribosomal RNA". It matches the Rfam family "Bacterial large subunit ribosomal RNA", at positions 342 to 1506 of the family's 2925-position model. The record is from RNAcentral. Lineage: Bacteria; Pseudomonadati; Pseudomonadota; Gammaproteobacteria; Enterobacterales; Enterobacteriaceae.
CUGGAAAGUCCGACGGUACAGGGUGAUAGUCCCGUACACCAAAAUGCACAGGCUGUGAACUCGAAGAGUAGGGCGGGACACGUGGUAUCCUGUCUGAAUAUGGGGGGACCAUCCUCCAAGGCUAAAUACUCCUGACUGACCGAUAGUGAACCAGUACCGUGAGGGAAAGGCGAAAAGAACCCCGGCGAGGGGAGUGAAAAAGAACCUGAAACCGUGUACGUACAAGCAGUGGGAGCACCUUCGGGUGUGACUGCGUACCUUUUGUAUAAUGGGUCAGCGACUUAUAUUCUGUAGCAAGGUUAACCGUAUAGGGGAGCCGCAGGGAAACCGAGUCUUAACUGGGCGUUAAGUUGCAGGGUAUAGACCCGAAACCCGGUGAUCUAGCCAUGGGCAGGUUGAAGGUUGGGUAACACUAACUGGAGGACCGAACCGACUAAUGUUGAAAAAUUAGCGGAUGACUUGUGGCUGGGGGUGAAAGGCCAAUCAAACCGGGAGAUAGCUGGUUCUCCCCGAAAGCUAUUUAGGUAGCGCCUCGUGAACUCAUCUUCGGGGGUAGAGCACUGUUUCGGCUAGGGGGUCAUCCCGACUUACCAACCCGAUGCAAACUACGAAUACCGAAGAAUGUUAUCACGGGAGACACACGGCGGGUGCUAACGUCCGUCGUGAAGAGGGAAACAACCCAGACCGCCAGCUAAGGUCCCAAAGUCAUGGUUAAGUGGGAAACGAUGUGGGAAGGCACAGACAGCCAGGAUGUUGGCUUAGAAGCAGCCAUCAUUUAAAGAAAGCGUAAUAGCUCACUGGUCGAGUCGGCCUGCGCGGAAGAUGUAACGGGGCUAAACCAUGCACCGAAGCUGCGGCAGCGACACUAUGUGUUGUUGGGUAGGGGAGCGUUCUGUAAGCCUGCGAAGGUGACCUGUGAGGGUUGCUGGAGGUAUCAGAAGUGCGAAUGCUGACAUAAGUAACGAUAAAGCGGGUGAAAAGCCCGCUCGCCGGAAGACCAAGGGUUCCUGUCCAACGUUAAUCGGGGCAGGGUGAGUCGACCCCUAAGGCGAGGCCGAAAGGCGUAGUCGAUGGGAAACAGGUUAAUAUUCCUGUACUUGGUGUUACUGCGAAGGGGGGACGGAGAAGGCUAUGUUAGCCGGGCGACGGUUGUC